This 492-nucleotide ribosomal RNA is filed under the name uncultured bacterium. RNAcentral's name for it is "partial 16S ribosomal RNA". It matches the Rfam family "Bacterial small subunit ribosomal RNA", at positions 29 to 507 of the family's 1533-position model. The record is from RNAcentral.
AGUGAACGCUGGCGGUAGGCCUAACACAUGCAAGUCGAACGGCAGCACAGUAAGAGCCUGCUCUUACGGGUGGCGAGUGGCGGACGGGUGAGGCAUACAUCGGAAUCUACUUUUUCGUGGGGGAUAACGUAGGGAAACUUACGCUAAUACCGCAUACGACCUACGGGUGAAAGCAGGGGAUCUUCGGACCUUGCGCGAUUGAAUGAGCCGAUGUCGGAUUAGCUAGUUGGCGGGGUAAAGGCCCACCAAGGCGACGAUCCGUAGCUGGUCUGAGAGGAUGAUCAGCCACACUGGAACUGAGACACGGUCCAGACUCCUACGGGAGGCAGCAGUGGGGAAUAUUGGACAAUGGGCGCAAGCCUGAUCCAGCCAUACCGCGUGGGUGAAGAAGGCCUUCGGGUUGUAAAGCCCUUUUGUUGGGAAAGAAAAGCAGCAGGUUAAUACCCCGCUGUUCUGACGGUACCCAAAGAAUAAGCACCGGCUAACUUCGUG